UUAAUUAAAGCCAAAGAGCGGCCUACUGUUGUUAACAGUAUUAUUGAUUUUCUAGUCUAGUUAAA
Molecule: transfer RNA, 65 nt
Filed under: Trialeurodes vaporariorum (greenhouse whitefly)
Lineage: Eukaryota; Metazoa; Arthropoda; Insecta; Hemiptera; Aleyrodidae
Description: tRNA-Asn
Source: RNAcentral